RNAcentral lists this ribosomal RNA (437 nucleotides) under uncultured bacterium. RNAcentral's name for it is "bacterial SSU rRNA". It matches the Rfam family "Bacterial small subunit ribosomal RNA", at positions 30 to 455 of the family's 1533-position model. The record is from RNAcentral.
AGUGAACGCUGGCGGCAGGCCUAACACAUGCAAGUCGAGCGGCAGCGCGUCCGACCACCCUCGGGUGGUCGGAUGGCGGCGAGCGGCGGACGGGUGAGGAAUGCAUCGGAAUCUGCCUCGUUGUGGGGGAUAACGUAGGGAAACUUACGCUAAUACCGCAUACGACCUACGGGUGAAAGUGGGGGACCUUCGGGCCUCACGCGAUGAGAUGAGCCGAUGCCGGAUUAGCUAGUUGGCGGGGUAAAGGCCCACCAAGGCGACGAUCUGUAGCUGGUCUGAGAGGAUGGCCAGCCACACUGGAACUGAGACACGGUCCAGACUCCUACGGGAGGCAGCAGUGGGGAAUAUUGGACAAUGGGGGCAACCCUGAUCCAGCCAUGCCGCGUGUGUGAAGAAGGCCUCGGUUGUAAGACACUUAAGUCGAGGAGGAAGGUUUU